RNAcentral lists this ribosomal RNA (424 nucleotides) under Gonatodes hasemani. Its description in RNAcentral is "partial 16S ribosomal RNA". It matches the Rfam family "Bacterial large subunit ribosomal RNA", at positions 1957 to 2591 of the family's 2925-position model. Lineage: Eukaryota; Metazoa; Chordata; Lepidosauria; Squamata; Sphaerodactylidae. The record is from RNAcentral.
UAGCGUAAUCACUUGUCCCCCAAAUAGAGACUAGUAUGAACGGCCAUAUGAGGGCCUAACUGUCUCCUUUAGCUAGUCAAUGAACCUGAUCUUCCAGUACAAAAGCCGGAAUAAACCCAUAAGACGAGAAGACCCUGUGGAGCUUAAGGCCACACACUAAUCACAAUAGUACUCCCCUUUAGUUGGGGCGACUACGGAACAAAACAAAACUUCCGCGCCAAGACAAACGUCCCCACAGCGGCCCACACGCCCACGAACCCCCCAAUGACCCAGUACCACUGAGCAACGAACCAAGUUACCCCAGGGAUAACAGCGCCAUCCUCUUCAAGAGCCCGUAUCGCCAAGAGGGUUUACGACCUCGAUGUUGGAUCAGGACCCCCCGGUGGUGUAGCCGCUACCAAAGGCUCGUUUGUUCAACGAUUAA